GCUCAAGUCUACACUAGACUAACGCGCGGACGGCUUUCUCGAAUAACUACGGCGCAUCUAUGAGACGAAAAGACAACAGACGUGUGUCUAUGUCUACGGGCUGUCUGGGUAAGAGCCACACCCGGUGGCCCUUCCCGUCUCCCGCUCAAUAUCUCUUAUAGUCGCCAAAAGAUCACUAUAGGCGCCUAAUAAACUCUCACGUAGCAGCAGCCACAUCAGU
Caenorhabditis elegans is the source of this 220-nucleotide non-coding RNA. The record is from Ensembl. NCBI's taxonomy places the organism in Eukaryota, Metazoa, Nematoda, Chromadorea, Rhabditida, Rhabditidae.